UUGAAUAAUCAAUCUGCUUCCAUUGAUAUGGAUCAUAGCCAUUACAGAAAUUUCUAUUUUUCUCCGUGUAUAUGGCUUUGACGCUAACAGUAAAUAUUUUUAUGCAAAGAGACAUAUAUUCGCAUGUUAAUUAUAUAAUGUAUCGCGUAAUUUCUAUAACUAUUUCACUAAAAUAAUUAUUUAAACAAAGCUCAAUCUUGUUGAUCCAUAUAAAUUCUAUGCAGCGAACUCUUUUGCCUGCCCAACAGAUCACUAAUACAUAUGCACGCUGCAAGCACCCUAUACACACGGAGCGCGCAUGUGUUACACACACAAAGAAGUUAGUAAUAAACAAUCCUCAAUUUGUUCGAUGUUCGGGAGUUUUUCCAAUAUUUCUUGUAUUUAAAAGUUAAAAAAAUCGUAAGUUUGUCACUAAUCGUAAGUCGAGCUGACGAUAAACACGAUAGAGUACCGCAUUUUCACUGCAGCAAUAUAUCGAAGUGCCACGUUCCGCGUUACCGGAACAGAAAAAAAUUAAAAAGUUUCGAAGAAAGUCGGAUAACUUUCCACCGUUUUCCGACCAAUAAAUUGUUGAGACGGAAAUGGUUAAACUUUUUCGGAUACACAAGCUCGUUCGAUACGCGAAAGAUAUUUGUUUGUUCGCUUCAUUUUUCGCCGGAUUCUUUUGGGGAUACUGUUUUAACCUAUAUUCAGCAAAGAAAACAUCUUCGUACUGGAGCUAUUCCAUGCAUUCGCCUCUUGGAUCUUUCAAAACGUUCCGUUCCAAUGGUUUCACACGAAAUUCCAAAUUUAUACAUUCACUUCUUGCGAAAGUGCUAAAUAUUUAUUUGCAAUCACUUCGGAAGAUGACCCGGGAUGGAGGAAAUGUUUUUCUCGUUUUCCAGAAACGCAAAUUUAUUCCCUCAAGCCUCACUACGGCUGAACACUCCAAACCGAAACCAAUGGAUGCGUCGCGAUGAUUCUUGAUGGAUGAUUCAAUAAAAGAGAAACAAACAGCAGUGUGGGUGUUAAUCUUUCAUCAUAUUAUCAAUUUGCGAGAAUGACACUGCUUCGAUAUAACCUCUCCACACAUUUGUUCAUAGGU
Molecule: long non-coding RNA, 1084 nt
Organism: Toxorhynchites rutilus septentrionalis
Lineage: Eukaryota; Metazoa; Arthropoda; Insecta; Diptera; Culicidae
Exons: 3
Source: RefSeq, a predicted model, not a curated record